UUUAUGGAGAGUUUGAUCCUGGCUCAGAGUGAACGCUGGCGGCGUGCCUAAUACAUGCAAGUCGAACGGACAAGUAAGAGCUUGCUCUUAUGAGUUAGUGGCGCACGGGUGAGUAAUGUAUAGUUAAUCUGCCCUAUGCUGGAGGACAACACUUAGAAAUGAGUGCUAAUACUCCAUACUCCUUCUUAACACAAGUUAAGUUGGGAAAGUAGCUCUUAAUAAUGCAUAUAAAAUGGAUUUUAAAACAAAAAGCUAAAAAGAUAACAAUAAACUUUUUUGAAGCUUUACAUAAGUAAGGCAAGAAAAAGUGAAGCAGUUAGCUUUUAAAGAUUUUUGUAAAAAUUCUAAAUUAUAAAAUAGUUUUUAAAUUAAAAAUAUUUUCUUUAUUAAAGAAAAUACUAAAAGUAAUUUUAAAACUUUUUAUAUGUAUUAUUAAGAGCUCUCGGCAUAGGAUGAGACUAUAUUGUAUCAGCUAGUUGGUAAGGUAAUGGCUUACCAAGGCUAUGACGCAUAACUGGUCUGAGAGGAUGAUCAGUCACACUGGAACUGAGACACGGUCCAGACUCCUACGGGAGGCAGCAGUAGGGAAUAUUGCUCAAUGGGGGAAACCCUGAAGCAGCAACGCCGCGUGGAGGAUGACACUUUUCGGAGCGUAAACUCCUUUUGUUAGGGAAGAAUAAUGACGGUACCUAACGAAUAAGCACCGGCUAACUCCGUGCCAGCAGCCGCGGUAAUACGGAGGGUGCAAGCGUUACUCGGAAUCACUGGGCGUAAAGGACGCGUAGGCGGAUUAUCAAGUCUUUUGUGAAAUCUAAUGGCUUAACCAUUAAACUGCUUGAGAAACUGAUAAUCUAGAGUGAGGGAGAGGCAGAUGGAACUGGUGGUGUAGGGGUAAAAUCCGUAGAGAUCACCAAGAAUACCCAUUGCGAAGGCGAUCUGCUAGAACUCAACUGACGCUAAUGCGUGAAAGCGUGGGGAGCAAACAGGAUUAGAUACCCUGGUAGUCCACGCCCUAAACGAUGUAUACUCGUUGUUGCUCUGCUAGUCAGGGCAGUAAUUCAGCUAACGCAUUAAGUAUACCGCCUGGGGAGUACGGUCGCAAGAUUAAAACUCAAAGGAAUAGACGGGGACCCGCACAAGCGGUGGAGCAUGUGGUUUAAUUCGAAGAUACGCGAAGAACCUUACCUGGGCUUGAUAUCCUAAGAACCUCUUAGAGAUAAGAGGGUGCUAGCUUGCUAGAACUUAGAGACAGGUGCUGCACGGCUGUCGUCAGCUCGUGUCGUGAGAUGUUCGGUUAAGUCCGGCAACGAGCGCAACCCACGUAUUUAGUUGCUAACAGUUUGGCUGAGCACUCUAAAUAUACUGCCUUCGUAAGGAGGAGGAAGGUGUGGACGACGUCAAGUCAUCAUGGCCCUUAUGCCCAGGGCGACACACGUGCUACAAUGGCAUAUACAAUGAGACGCAAUAUCGCGAGAUGGAGCAAAUCUAUAAAAUAUGUCCCAGUUCGGAUUGUUCUCUGCAACUCGAGAGCAUGAAGCCGGAAUCGCUAGUAAUCGUAGAUCAGCCAUGCUACGGUGAAUACGUUCCCGGGUCUUGUACUCACCGCCCGUCACACCAUGGGAGUUGAUUUCACUCGAAGCGGGGAUGCUAAACUAGCUACCCUCCACAGUGGAAUCAGCGACUGGGGUGAAGUCGUAACAAGGUAACCGUAGGAGAACCUGCGGUUGGAUCACCUCCUUUCUA
This 1743-nucleotide ribosomal RNA is filed under the name Campylobacter hyointestinalis subsp. lawsonii. RNAcentral's name for it is "bacterial SSU rRNA". It matches the Rfam family "Bacterial small subunit ribosomal RNA". The record is from RNAcentral. Lineage: Bacteria; Pseudomonadati; Campylobacterota; Epsilonproteobacteria; Campylobacterales; Campylobacteraceae.